RNAcentral lists this long non-coding RNA (1229 nucleotides) under Physcomitrium patens. RNAcentral describes it as "long non-coding RNA (PPAT_LNC009742)". The record is from RNAcentral. Lineage: Eukaryota; Viridiplantae; Streptophyta; Bryopsida; Funariales; Funariaceae.
CUCUACUCACCCACAAACCAACUGAAAAAUGAUAGGUACUGUUGUGGAAACUGGCCCUAAACUAUCUAUGGGGCUCAUGGUCAACAAAUUGAAGUAGCGAUUAAUGCAGCGAUACUUUUCAUGUGAAAUCUACGAGAAGCGUAGGAGAAUAUCGCUUGCUGCACGAUUACAACUUCAGACAAUGCAUGUGGUUGAAGUGUGGAUCUUUUAGCAACAACAGUUCGACCAUCAUCACAUCAUCGAAUCUACAGCCCGCACGAAAACCAACGGGCAAGUGAAUGAGAGAAUUCGAAGUGGAAAAAUCGAGUAGGAAACUCAAUGUUACCAGAAAAGAUUCAAACGUCCUCUUGCUGUAUAUUAACAAUGUAAAAAUACACACGUCAUCACUAGAGAAGCAAUGACAAGUACACAAAUCAGUUGUGCACUGAAAUGGAAUUUACAGGUCCACUCAGGGAAAGAGCUGGCGGCCAUUUUGAAAUCAGUAUUCUAGAUUCCUGUCAACGUAAGGAACCACUAAACCAUUUGAAUAUGAAACAGUAAUUAAACGUCGCUAACCGCACAGUUGCCGUCGAUUGCACAAAUGGCCCAAUCGGACGAAGGCGUGAGCCCUACUUCUCGAAUUGACUUUCGUACUAUCAGCUACACCUCAAUUUGUACAAAGAGUUACAAUUAGCUACCAUGCCUCCUUGACCCUGAUAAAAAUAAAAAUAAAAAACCAUUCAUUCAUCACUAACUUCAGUACCUCCAAUCACCGAUCUGGUGUCUCGCAGACGCUUCUCUCACAUGAGAACAAAAACUGCAAAGAAACGUCAUGUCUUCAAGAUCGGUGAAAACAGGACCAAACAUAUCCAUUCUCAGAGUCAUAAUUCUUGCGAUUGAAGAAAAAUCCAUUCACACACUUCACAAAUUAACUGUCUGCGAGCAACCAUCUCGAUCGAUCCCUUUCCGAUUGCACUCCUCCCAGAAACACCGACAGUCUACGACGGGACGUCACUUGAACGAGCAAUGGCGACGCCCAUCGCAAGCAACGCAAUUCUCGUCACAACCGCUCGACAGCAACCUCUUCUCGAUUCCAGCAACAAACCCAAAUCUCUCGUCCCUUGCCGAGAUGGCUUCCAACGAAUCCUUCCGCCGUUAGCUUCCAUGAAGCAAACCCUAAACACACCGAAGCGAUUACGCCGCGUUUCCCGUGUCAACGCACCGAUGAACAAUGAGAUGAACAAUAGUGG